This 1702-nucleotide unclassified non-coding RNA is filed under the name Hevea brasiliensis (rubber tree). The record is from RNAcentral. Lineage: Eukaryota; Viridiplantae; Streptophyta; Magnoliopsida; Malpighiales; Euphorbiaceae.
CAUUGACCAGCUAAAAUACUGUGUCUAAGUUGUCAACAAACAAAACACAAAAAUAAAACCCAUGAGCCUUGGAACCCUAAAAAUUGUGAAAGGUAACACCAAAAAUCCUCCUUCAAAGCUUUCUUUCUCUGACUUGUUAAGGUUUAUUCUGAAGAAAAAAGCAUAGUUUUAUGACAAGAAGAAGCUUCACCGAUUUUUUUCUCCGAGGAAAUAAACCCAGGAAUCUCCAUGGCCGCAGAAGCCGCCGCCACCACCACCAAAUUCCAAAAUCCUGAUUUCCGCGCCGAUUUUCAUCCCGAUAUCGCGGUAAUGGCCCACGACGGCCUCCAUUUUUGGCAGUUCAUGAUCGCUGGUUCCAUUGCGGGUUCAGUCGAGCACAUGGCCAUGUUUCCAGUCGACACAAUCAAGACCCACAUGCAGGCUCUCGGUUCUUGCCCCAUUAAAUCUGUCAGUGUCACCCACGCUGUCCGUUCUAUACUCCAAUCUGAAGGUCCUAGUGCCUUCUACCGUGGUAUUGCCGCCAUGGGUCUCGGCGCCGGUCCCGCCCAUGCAGUGUAUUUCUCGGUUUACGAAGUCUGUAAGAAGUAUUUAUCUGGUAGCAAUCCAAACAAUUCAAUAGCUCACGCUGUAUCUGGUGUUUGUGCUACGGUGUGCAGUGAUGCUGUUUUUACGCCGAUGGAUAUGGUGAAGCAGAGAUUACAAUUGGGGAAUAAUACUUAUAAGGGGGUAUGGGAUUGUGUGAAGAGGGUUUUGAGAGAAGAGGGUUUUGGUGCGUUUUAUGCAUCUUAUAGGACUACUGUUUUGAUGAAUGCUCCGUUUACAGCUGUGCAUUUUGCAACUUAUGAGGCUACGAAAAGGGGAUUGAUGGAGAUUUCUCCUGAGAGUGCUAAUGAUGAGCGGUUGGUUGUUCAUGCCACUGCUGGAGCUGCUGCUGGAGCACUUGCAGCUUCUGUCACUACUCCACUUGAUGUAGUUAAAACUCAAUUGCAGUGUCAGGGUGUUUGUGGGUGUGAUAGAUUUAAAACUGGUUCAAUUGGUCAUGUGAUUCGGACAAUAGUUAAAAAGGAUGGUUACAGAGGGCUUAUGAGGGGUUGGAUUCCGAGGAUGCUUUUCCAUGCACCCGCUGCUGCAAUCUGCUGGUCUACAUAUGAAGCCUCAAAAGCAUACUUUCAGGAACUUAACGGUAACACUAAGAGUGGCACGGUUACCUGAAUAACAUGCAAAGAAGUGGGCAGUGGCAUUUGUAAUUUUCAUGUGCCUCACUAAUAAUGCUGUACAAGUAACAAGAAGUUUGCUUCACAAGAGGGAUGGUAAGCAAGGCAAAUGCACAAUCUUUUUCUGGUAUCAUCCCAUUCUAUUUAUUAGGCAUUAGUAGUCAAAUUGAUUGGUCAGAUAGAAUUAACUGUGUCGUACACAUUGUUGUCCAACAAUUUUAUAAGCGCAUUAUGUUGUUUUUCUUUAUCAAAUUGUGGGUUGCACAAAACCCCCCAUUAAUGCUGUGCAAUAUUUUUUUUCUUGGGAAGAAAUUUUUGGCUUUAUAAUGAUGGGGGGUUUUGAAUUGCAGCAAAAAGUUAUUAUUUUUGCUGGAUAUUUGAUAAUUAGUAGUUGUUAUUUGUUUUUGCUAAUUGUUCAUUCUUGUCAUGGAUUUUUCAUUUAAUCGAACUUCUGACUGUCUUGUGAUCCUCUCAAUGAAUGUGUAACC